GUGGGGAAUUUUGGACAAUGGGCGCAAGCCUGAUCCAGCAAUGCCGCGUGCAGGAAGAAGGCCUUCGGGUUGUAAACUGCUUUUGUACGGAACGAAACGGUCCGGGUUAAUACCCUGGGCUAAUGACGGUACCGUAAGAAUAAGCACCGGCUAACUACGUGCCAGCAGCCGCGGUAAUACGUAGGGUGCAAGCGUUAAUCAGAAUUACUGGGCGUAAAGCGGGCGCAGGCGGUUUUGUAAGACAGGCGUGACAUCCCCGGGCGCAACCUGGGAAUUGCGCUUGUGACUGCAAGGCUGGAGGGCGGCAGAGGGGGAUGGAAUUCCGCGUGUAGCAGUGAAAUGCGUAGAUAUGCGGAGGAACACCGAUGGCGAAGGCAAUCCCCUGGGCCUGCACUGACGCUCAUGCACGAAAGCGUGGGGAGCAAACAGGAUUAGAAACCCCUGUAGUCC
Molecule: ribosomal RNA, 450 nt
Filed under: uncultured bacterium
Lineage: Bacteria
Description: partial 16S ribosomal RNA
Rfam family: Bacterial small subunit ribosomal RNA
Source: RNAcentral